Molecule: ribosomal RNA, 428 nt
Filed under: uncultured bacterium
Lineage: Bacteria
Description: bacterial SSU rRNA
Rfam family: Bacterial small subunit ribosomal RNA
Source: RNAcentral
AUUAGGAAUCUUGCACAAUGGGCGAAAGCCUGAUGCAGCGACGCCGCGUGGAGGACGAAGUCUUUCGGGAUGUAAACUCCUUUUGUCAGGGAAGAAACACAUGACGGUACCUGACGAAUAAGCUCCGGCUAACUACGUGCCAGCAGCCGCGGUAAUACGUAGGGAGCGAGCGUUGUCCGAAGUUACUGGGCGUAAAGCGCGCGUAGGCGGGCUGUUUAGUCGGAAGUGAAAGGCUGGGGCUCAACCCCAGCAGUGCUUCCGAUACUGGCAGUCUUGAGGGCGGUAGGGAGAAGUGGAAUGACUGGUGUAGCGGUGAAAUGCGUAGAUAUCAGUCAGAACACCGGUGGCGAAGGCGGCUUCUUGGGCCGUUCCUGACGCUGAGGCGCGAAAGCCAGGGGAGCGAACGGGAUUAGAAACCCUUGUAGUCC